RNAcentral lists this ribosomal RNA (253 nucleotides) under uncultured bacterium. Its description in RNAcentral is "partial 16S ribosomal RNA". It matches the Rfam family "Bacterial small subunit ribosomal RNA", at positions 524 to 776 of the family's 1533-position model. The record is from RNAcentral.
UACGUAGGGGGCUAGCGUUGUCCGGAAUCAUUGGGCGUAAAGAGCGUGUAGGCGGCUUGGUAAGUCCGCUGUGAAAGUCCAGGGCUCAACCCUGGAAAGCCAGUGGAAACUGUCAAGCUAGAGUCCGGAAGAGGCGAGUGGAACUCCUGGUGUAGCGGUGAAAUGCGCAGAUAUCAGGAAGAACACCAAUGGCGAAGGCAGCUCGCUGGGACGGUACUGACGCUGAGACGCGAAAGCGUGGGGAGCAAACAGG